RNAcentral lists this transfer RNA (58 nucleotides) under Myotis lucifugus (little brown bat). It matches the Rfam family "tRNA", at positions 8 to 63 of the family's 71-position model. Rfam says of the family: Transfer RNA (tRNA) molecules are approximately 80 nucleotides in length. Their secondary structure includes four short double-helical elements and three loops (D, anti-codon, and T loops). The record is from Rfam by way of RNAcentral. Lineage: Eukaryota; Metazoa; Chordata; Mammalia; Chiroptera; Vespertilionidae.
UGGCUCAGUGGGUAGAGCGUCAGCCUGUGGACUGAAGGGUCCCAGGUUUGAUUCCUGG